UCGUUUAAAAGUUGUUUAUUUAAUCUCGUUUAAAAGUUAUUUAUUUAAAACUGCAGCAAAAUAUAGUAAUUUUCGCUGCAAAAACCAUUAUAAAUUAAAUUUUUCAUUAUGUUCUACUUUACAACUAGUUUCAAGGCAUUUACGGCCAACAUUUUUUAUUAUAUAAAUUAUAAAAAAAGAAUAAAUCUGGAGAAGCCUCCAGUUUUUAAAUUUCGAUAACUUUUAACUCGUAUUGUAUAGCCAAAAACUUCUUAAAUAACGAGACGAUUUAGGGAAUAUUCUUCUUUAAAAGGUAUUAAAAAAUUGACUUUUAAAUUUGAUAUUUUUAUUAUAUGAAAUCUAAAAUACAUUUCCUCCUCAAAUGUUUUGCCGAUAUUUGAUCAUUUGACGAAGUUAUAGAUGAAAAAGCUAGCAGCGCUUAUAAUAGGUCAAAAUCGAAGCGCUUAAUGUCAUACAGUUAAUUAUCGUAUAUAUUUGAAUGAGAAGGAAGUUAAUAUGGAAAUUAUUAUCACGCUAUUAUAGUCUGUUUAAAUUAGACUGUUGUUGAAUGUUAAUUAUAUUAUGCUGUUCAUACUUAUUUUUACACUUAUUGUUUUGACUUGUACAUUGCGUGGGACAAGACUCGAGAUAUAAAGUAUCGUUCAAAGUGACUCUUAAAUUAGUUUGUCGCUGAACUUUGAACAACAUAUAUUACGUGUCAUUGCAAUCUUGAAAAUAUUUUAUAAAUGAGGUAAUGGAAGGAAAACUGGACUGCAAGGAGAAGAUAUUCAUUGACAAAAAAAGGACGAAAUUCAUUUACAAGCAACACAGCGUGCGCUGCAAGCGACGAAGAAAGCCAAAACGACAAAUUUCUUGGAAACUAUUAGGAAAAUCGUCAUCAAUUUUUUCGCAAGUACAUUAUAUGUAUUUUUUCGUUGGAACUAUUAUGGAAUCAUUAUUAUGUACUCAUUAUUUCUGUUUAUAAAAAAAAUAAUUAUAAGAUUUUUAAAAUAUAAAAAAAUGUUUACAAAAGUUACUAUUCUGUCAAACUUAGAGAUAUUUUAUUUAAUUCCAAUUCCAACAAUAGCAACGCUUCUCUUGAAUAAAAAAAGUUUUAAGUUUUUUUAUUUCAGAUGUCCAAAAGAGACAUUUAUCCCAUUACCUCUAUGUAUUUUUUUUAUAAGCUAUUUUAAUGAUCAGUAUAUAACAUGCGAAAAAGUAGCACAUUUUAAAUUUCAAAAAUAUUAAAAUAUUUGACAAUAGUAAUAAAAAAGUAUGCAAAGUUUGAUAUUAAUUGUUGGCCUCCCUAAAAAUAUUCCCAGAAAAAAAAACACCUUUUUGGAUCCUUUAAAAUAGAAUACUCCCUUAAUAGCGAAACGAUUUAAUAGUCGGUUUAAUUAGGUCGGUAAAGUAUCGAGUUUUCAAACGUCAGACAACAGAAAUGAAUUUCACUUCACUUCCAA
Molecule: long non-coding RNA, 1442 nt
Organism: Solenopsis invicta (red fire ant)
Lineage: Eukaryota; Metazoa; Arthropoda; Insecta; Hymenoptera; Formicidae
Exons: 2
Source: RefSeq, a predicted model, not a curated record